This 691-nucleotide ribosomal RNA is filed under the name uncultured bacterium. RNAcentral describes it as "bacterial SSU rRNA". It matches the Rfam family "Bacterial small subunit ribosomal RNA", at positions 32 to 715 of the family's 1533-position model. The record is from RNAcentral.
AACGCUAGCUACAGGCUUAACACAUGCAAGUCGAGGGGCAGCGAGGGAGUGCUUGUACUUCUGUCGGCGACCGGCGCACGGGUGAGUAACACGUAUGCAACCUGCCCUUGUCAGGGGGAUAAGCGAGGGAAACCUCGUCUAAUACCGCAUAUAUGGUUUUGAGGCAUCUCUUAAUCAGGAAAGAAUUAUCGGACAAGGAUGGGCAUGCGGGACAUUAGGUAGUUGGGGGUGUAACGGACCACCAAGCCGACGAUGUCUAGGGGUUCUGAGAGGAAGGUCCCCCACACUGGUACUGAGACACGGACCAGACUCCUACGGGAGGCAGCAGUGAGGAAUAUUGGUCAAUGGGCGAGAGCCUGAACCAGCCAAGUCGCGUGAAGGAAGAAGGAUCUAUGGUUCGUAAACUUCUUUUGCAGGGGAAUAAAGUGCAGGACGUGUCCUGUUUUGUAUGUACCCUGAGAAUAAGGAUCGGCUAACUCCGUGCCAGCAGCCGCGGUAAUACGGAGGAUCCGAGCGUUAUCCGGAUUUAUUGGGUUUAAAGGGUGCGUAGGUGGUUUGAUAAGUCAGCGGUGAAAGUUUGCAGCUUAACUGUAAAAAUGCCGUUGAAACUGUCGGACUUGAGUGUAAAUGAGGUAGGCGGAAUGCGUGGUGUAGCGGUGAAAUGCAUAGAUAUCACGAAGAACUCCGAUUG